AACGAACGCUGGCGGCAUGCCUAACACAUGCAAGUCGAACGAGACCUUCGGGUCUAGUGGCGCACGGGUGCGUAACGCGUGGGAACCUGCCCUUAGGUUCGGAAUAACUCCCCGAAAGGGGUGCAAAUACCGGAUAAUGUCUUCGGACCAAAGAUUUAUCGCCUUUGGAUGGGCCCGCGUUGGAUUAGCUAGUUGGUAGGGUAAAAGCCUACCAAGGCGACGAUCCAUAGCUGGUCUGAGAGGAUGAUCAGCCACACUGGGACUGAGACACGGCCCAGACUCCUACGGGAGGCAGCAGUGGGGAAUAUUGGACAAUGGGCGAAAGCCUGAUCCAGCAAUGCCGCGUGAGUGAUGAAGGCCUUAGGGUUGUAAAGCUCUUUUACCCGGGAUGAUAAUGACAGUACCGGGAGAAUAAGCUCCGGCUAACUCCGUG
RNAcentral lists this ribosomal RNA (433 nucleotides) under uncultured bacterium. RNAcentral describes it as "partial 16S ribosomal RNA". It matches the Rfam family "Bacterial small subunit ribosomal RNA", at positions 29 to 507 of the family's 1533-position model. The record is from RNAcentral.